This is a long non-coding RNA of Vitis riparia (riverbank grape), 198 nucleotides long. RefSeq lists it as uncharacterized. The record is from RefSeq and is a predicted model, not a curated record. The transcript is spliced from 3 exons. NCBI's taxonomy places the organism in Eukaryota, Viridiplantae, Streptophyta, Magnoliopsida, Vitales, Vitaceae.
UGAAAUCCAUUCCAGAAGGUUUUCAGUUACCAUCUACUUUUGGUCUUGAAAGUGCCCUUGAAGCAAAUUUGCAACCUAUGGAAGGUGACAAAGAAUUUCGUGCAAUAUUUUGGAACUACUUUAUUAUUGGAUUGGAUGUUGAAGAAUCUUUGCAGAAAAAGGAUGAAUGUUGUUGUAGUUGUUAUUUUAAGCCCCAGC